UGGUUUUUUUUUUUCAGUUGGUUUGUUUUUUUUUUUCCUUCCCCCAAUUCAUUUGAAAUCGUUUUUGGAGAAAAUCCAUUUGGCUGUAUUCAUGCCCAUGCAUUUCUAGUCAUUCACAGACAUGCUCACUCCCAUCGGACAUCGGAAAGAACAAAUGGCCAACAUACAGAAACACCUGGUAUACUCCAUACACACUCCAGCAACACAAGCUUGGAAAGAAACCCAGAGUCUUCACGGGAAAAGCACCCCACAAGGGCAAGCAUGGGGGAAUCAGAACAAACUGGCUGGUUUUAAGGCAGGAAUGUUUGUGGCAGCUCAUUUGACUGGGAUAGGUUGUCAUUUCAGCUGGCACCUCCCUGGCAGCAAUCCUCCCCAUGGAGGGGGGAAGUCCUCGAAGUUAAAAGAAACUAGAACAGCAAAGUCCAACAUGGAUUAGCUGUAAUUAAAAAUUGUCAGAGGUUUUGGUUCUUCAGCUGAAAAGUAAGCAUGUG
Molecule: non-coding RNA, 491 nt
Organism: Taeniopygia guttata (zebra finch)
Lineage: Eukaryota; Metazoa; Chordata; Aves; Passeriformes; Estrildidae
Source: RefSeq, a predicted model, not a curated record